CGUGCCCAGAUCUAAGGAAUAGCCACUGGAAACGGUGAGUAAUACCUUAUACGCCCUUCGGGGAAAGAUUUAUCGGAUUUGGAUCGGCCCGCGUUAGAUUAGGUAGUUGGUGGGGUAACGGCCUACCAAGCCUACGAUCUAUAGCUGGUUUUAGAGGAUGAUCAGCAACACUGGGACUGAGACACGGCCCAGACUCCUACGGGAGGCAGCAGUGGGGAAUCUUGGACAAUGGGCGCAAGUGAUCCAGCCAUGCCGCGUGAGUGAUGAAGGCCUUAGGGUCGUAAAGCUCUUUCGCCAGGGAUGAUAAUGACAGUACCUGGUAAAGAAACCCCGGCUAACUCCGUGCCAGCAGCCGCGGUAAUACGGAGGGGGUUAGCGUUGUUCGGAAUUACUGGGCGUAAAGCGCGCGUAGGGGAGUAGUCAGUCAGAGGUGAAAUCCCAGGGCUCAACCCUGGAACUGCCUUUGGUACUGCUAGUCUUGAGUUCGAGAGAGGUAAGUGGAAUUCCGAGUGUAGAGGUGAAAUUCGUAGAUAUUCGGAGGAACACCAGUGGCGAAGGGGCUUACUGGCUCGAUACUGACGCUGAGGUGCGAAAGUGUGGGGAGCAAACAGGAUUAGAUACCCUGGUAGUCCACACCGUAAACGAUGAAUGCCAGUCGUCGGGUAGCAUGCUAUUCGGUGACACACCUAACGGAUUAAGCAUUCCGCCUGGGGAGUACGGUCGCAAGAUUAAAACUCAAAGGAAUUGACGGGGGCCC
This 757-nucleotide ribosomal RNA is filed under the name uncultured bacterium. RNAcentral's name for it is "bacterial SSU rRNA". It matches the Rfam family "Bacterial small subunit ribosomal RNA", at positions 125 to 922 of the family's 1533-position model. The record is from RNAcentral.